UUUUUUUAUUGUUUUACCCCUAAUUAAUACACUGUUAUCUAUAUAUACAUUUUUGCAGCCAUUUUAGCAAAUAAAUCCUCAAGUUUAAACUUAUUUACAAAAGAUGCCAUUGCUAUCAAUUAUUAUCAAUUAAUUAAUAUUCCUAAUUUGUAGCAUUUCCUUAUCUAUUAUAUUUCCAUCAAUUUCAAUUACUU
RNAcentral lists this small RNA (194 nucleotides) under Arabidopsis thaliana (thale cress). Its description in RNAcentral is "ATSL255920". The record is from RNAcentral. Lineage: Eukaryota; Viridiplantae; Streptophyta; Magnoliopsida; Brassicales; Brassicaceae.